GACGAACGCUGGCGGCGUGCUUAACACAUGCAAGUUGAACGGUAUGACAUGGAAGCUUGCUGAAGUGUCAUAUAGUAGCGGACGGGUGAGUAAUGCAUGAGAAGCUGCCAUUGGGAGGGGGACAACAGUUGGAAACGGCUGCUAAUACCCCGUAUGCCGGAAGGUGAAAGGGAGUAAUCCGCCCGAUGAGGUGCUCAUGUCCUAUCAGCUGGUUGGUGGGGUAACGGCCUACCAAGGCGACGACGGGUAGCCGGCCUGAGAGGGUGAACGGCCACACUGGAACUGAGAUACGGUCCAGACUCCUACGGGAGGCAGCAGUGGGGAAUAUUGGGCAAUGGGGGCAACCCUGACCCAGCGACGCCGCGUGGGGGAAGACGGCCUCGGUUGUAA
Molecule: ribosomal RNA, 390 nt
Filed under: uncultured bacterium
Lineage: Bacteria
Description: bacterial SSU rRNA
Rfam family: Bacterial small subunit ribosomal RNA
Source: RNAcentral